GGAUGGUGGCUUGAAUGUUCAAUCAUAGUCGAAGUGUAGGAGUGGUGUGGCUGUGUUGUCAAAGUGGCUCUCAUGGAUGUUAUCCAACUUGCUGUAAUCAUAAAUCUUGUUAAGCUUGCUCAACCUAAUAGAAAGACAGUUUCAUAUGUUGAUCUUAAAUUUACUUAAUCCCGUGUUUUCAUUUCUGAUGCAUUUUAUUUCACCAACAAAAAUAGGUUAAUAACAUCAAUGUAGUUUGUGUUUGUUUUUAGUACUUGUUGUAAGGAGCUGUAGCUGCUCUAAAAG
RNAcentral lists this unclassified non-coding RNA (285 nucleotides) under Hevea brasiliensis (rubber tree). Lineage: Eukaryota; Viridiplantae; Streptophyta; Magnoliopsida; Malpighiales; Euphorbiaceae. The record is from RNAcentral.